CACUGUAGAAAUAUAUAUAUAUAUAUAUAUAUAUCUUUGUGUAUAUAUAUUUUUCUCUUUUCCUAUAGGAAGGAGGCAAGAAGCCAAGUGGCAGGAUAUAUGCUGACAAAGCUGAAAAGAUGACAAUCUCACAGAAGAAAAUUGGAGACAGCAGGAGCAUCUUGUCUCCCUCCAGCAGAACAGUGAGCCAGAAUGAAAUGUCUGCUUCCUGUUGGAUCUUGGAGUCACAAUGUGAAAAUGUGGAUGGUUUGGGUCCAGCAGAAUUUUUGGGGAUGAAGAAGAAGGAGGAGCACGAGAAAUCCGUAUUCUUGUAUUGGCAGCAAAAUCCAGGUCAGGUUUGCGGUUGGUAUACUGUUGUAUGACUACACUGACCUUAAUGUUGUUUUGCUAGUUCAUAGCAGCUAUGAAUCUGGC
This 414-nucleotide long non-coding RNA is filed under the name Apteryx owenii (little spotted kiwi). Its description in RNAcentral is "lncRNA (ENSAOWG00000008243.1)". Lineage: Eukaryota; Metazoa; Chordata; Aves; Apterygiformes; Apterygidae. The record is from RNAcentral.